Molecule: ribosomal RNA, 240 nt
Filed under: uncultured bacterium
Lineage: Bacteria
Description: partial 16S ribosomal RNA
Rfam family: Bacterial small subunit ribosomal RNA
Source: RNAcentral
AUGUAAGAUGAAAUGAUAAUAAACUGUUAGCAUUUAUAAAAAUUUUAUGUUGUAGAUAACUCGUUAAAUGUUCCGCCUGACUACUACGAUCGCAAGAUUAAAAUCAAAAUAUUUGACGGUUCUUAAACCCCAUCCGGAGGAGCAUGUGGUUUAAUUCGAUAACCCGCGAGGAAUCUUACCUGAUUUGGUAUUAGAUAUAAUUUAAUUUAUAAUUUAAUUCAGAUGCUACAUGACUGCCGU